GAGAAACCAAAUAACGUUUGAAACAAUCUGGGGGUUAAGGGAUUGUCUCAACCAUUCAGAUCAAAGAAGGCUCUUCAGGAGGGGAUGCCUGGACGUGAGGCAGAGAGUUGACAUUCAGUAUGAACUGCCUUUUCUUUUUAUAACUGACACUCCUAACUCUAGUAUCAUUUCUCAUGGUUUAAUGUGUUUGGGCUCAUUUGGAGCCAACGCUGACAAUGGAAGAUGGCCGAGCAAACAAAGGUAUUGUUGUAAACGUCAAACACAAUCAAAGCCAAAGGACGAGAACAAGCCCUAGCAUGGGUAAGUAUUUAUAGGGGAAAUUAAUUUGUUGUCUGAUGGCCAUGAACUGGGCAGUAGAGCAAAGUGAGCCUUUUACAAGCGAUAUUCCAUCUCCGUCCGCAUUCUAAUGGUUGUAAAACUCACCAUAUGAAGCUAAUAAUUGGUGCAUAAACCUAAUACUUUCCAUUUUUUUUCUCUUAUUUUGUAGGCUUUACGCAUUAUAAAAAACAUGAUUAAGUCCUGGCGGUUAUACUCCUGGCUGGUUCUUAUUUCAGCUUUGGUUCCUCUUGCUCAUUCCUCAUAAAAAUUAUUAGUGUGGAUUGUGUACAUUAAGUCAUCUUCAAUGGGAAAUUAAAUGGGGCAAUUUCUCUCGUCUAAGUGUUUCCGAAGAGGCCCGAUAUAGGUGGUGCCAACGAGCCUCACAAAGCUAGGUGGUGGCUUACCUAUUGAAGGGGACUCCUGAGAGGUUAUGGAGGCAUUCCACCCACGUUACCACACUGGCAAUCUCUAACCCAUCAAGCAAGACUUUAAGGAAGCUGGCACUGAGGAUUACUUGGAAGUCAUAAUCAAUUUAGUAAGUGCCCUCAUCCUCAUUCUCCAAUGCCAUUAGAUGCGUUUCUUCCAUAACACAAACCAAAAGAGAGAUAUGUCAGUGAAACCACUGGGAGAGUUUGAUAUGUCUUCUGGACUUUAUGAGACAUAGGAACUGAUGUCUGACUCAUACUUGAAAACACAGAGGACUGUGGCCUGAACUACUUUUUUCUGGGGUCUACGACCAAGAUAUAUUAGGAGUAAUUAGCACUUCCAGAAUUUGGUGGGGCAAAUAAAGACCCUACUUAAGAAAGGUGGAUUGGGUCAUCAUGGGAAAGAUUGUCUGGAAGGGUGACAUGACCCCAUGAGUGGGGAUGUGCCACUAGAAGCCAAGAGAACGAAGAAGACAUAACUGGCUAGUCUGAGAAGCCUUAACUACAGUCAGCAGAGCAAUUACUGCACGACAUCCUAUAAUGUAGACAAAGGGAGGUAUCUUAAAAAAAAAAACAAAACACCUCACCAAAUGUCCC
Long non-coding RNA from Herpailurus yagouaroundi (jaguarundi), 1340 nucleotides. RefSeq lists it as uncharacterized. The record is from RefSeq and is a predicted model, not a curated record. The transcript is spliced from 2 exons. Lineage: Eukaryota; Metazoa; Chordata; Mammalia; Carnivora; Felidae.